CGGACGGGUGAGUAAUGCUUGGGAAUCUGGCUUAUGGAGGGGGAUAACGACGGGAAACUGUCGCUAAUACCGCGUAAUAUCUUCGGAUUAAAGGGUGGGACUUUCGGGCCACCUGCCAUAAGAUGAGCCCAAGUGGGAUUAGGUAGUUGGUGGGGUAAAGGCCUACCAAGCCGACGAUCUCUAGCUGGUCUGAGAGGAUGACCAGCCACACUGGAACUGAGACACGGUCCAGACUCCUACGGGAGGCAGCAGUGGGGAAUAUUGCACAAUGGGGGGAACCCUGAUGCAGCCAUGCCGCGUGAAUGAAGAAGGCCUUCGGGUUGUAAAGUUCUUUCGGUGAUGAGGAAGGGUGAUGUUUUAAUAGAGCAUUACGUUGACGUUAGUCACAGAAGAAGCACCGGCUAACUCCGUGCCAGCAGCCGCGGUAAUACGGAGGGUGCGAGCGUUAAUCGGAAUGACUGGGCGUAAAGGGCACGCAGGCGGUGACUUAAGUGAGAUGUGAAAGCCCCGAGCUUAACUUGGGAAUUGCAUUUCAUACUGGGUCGCUAGAGUAUUUUAGGGAGGGGUAGAAUUCCACGUGUAGCGGUGAAAUGCGUAGAGAUGUGGAGGAAUACCGAAGGCGAAGGCAGCCCCUUGGGAAUAUACUGACGCUCAUGUGCGAAAGCGUGGGGAGCAAACAGGAUUAGAUACCCUGGUAGUCCACGCUGUAAACGCUGUCGAUUUGGGGAUUGGGCUUUGAGCUUGGUGCCCGUAGCUAACGCGAUAAAUCGACCGCCUGGGGAGUACGGCCGCA
RNAcentral lists this ribosomal RNA (793 nucleotides) under uncultured Actinobacillus sp. RNAcentral's name for it is "bacterial SSU rRNA". It matches the Rfam family "Bacterial small subunit ribosomal RNA", at positions 99 to 890 of the family's 1533-position model. The record is from RNAcentral. Lineage: Bacteria; Pseudomonadati; Pseudomonadota; Gammaproteobacteria; Pasteurellales; Pasteurellaceae.